Long non-coding RNA from Gavialis gangeticus (Gharial), 118 nucleotides. RefSeq lists it as uncharacterized. The record is from RefSeq and is a predicted model, not a curated record. The transcript has 3 exons. Lineage: Eukaryota; Metazoa; Chordata; Crocodylia; Gavialidae.
AAAGGAUCCAUGCCAAAAACCCCAACAAACAUCAGAUUGGACACCUCACAGUGGACAAAACCCUAACCUUGACUGCUACAUUGACCACUUCAUGGAACGAAUGAACAAUGAAAUAAUC